AACCUUUACAAUGCGCGAAAGCGUGAUAAGGGGACUUCAAGUGACUCUGCGAGAGCGGAGUCUUUUCUCGAGUCUAGAAAGCUCAAGGAAUAAGGACUGGGAAAGACUCGUGCCAGCCGCCGCGGUAACACGAGCAGUCCAAGUGGUACCCAUUUACAUUGGGCUUAGAGCGCUCGUAGCCGGCUAAGUAAGUUCUUAAUGAAAUUCCAAGGCUCAACCUUGGGGAGCGUUAAGAAAACUGCUUAGCUUGGGGACGGAAGAGGCCACGGGUACUCCUGGGGUAGCGGUAAAAUGCUAUAAUCCUAGGAGGACCAGCGGUAGCGAAAGCGCGUGGCCAGAACGUGCCCGACGGUGAGGGGCGAAGGCCAGGGGCGCAACUCGGAUUAGAUACCCGAUUAGUCCUGGCUGUAAAUUAUGCGAAUUAGGUACAUCAGAGCCCAAGAGGCGCUGAGGUGCCGUAGGAAAACCGUUAAAUUCGCCGCCUGGGGAGUACGGUCGCAAGGUCGAAACUUAA
This 514-nucleotide ribosomal RNA is filed under the name uncultured archaeon. RNAcentral's name for it is "bacterial SSU rRNA". It matches the Rfam family "Archaeal small subunit ribosomal RNA", at positions 345 to 859 of the family's 1478-position model. The record is from RNAcentral.